UGGGGAAUAUUGGACAAUGGGCGAAAGCCUGAUCCAGCCAUGCCGCGUGUGUGAAGAAGGCCUUAUGGUUGUAAAGCACUUUAAGUGGGGAGGAAAAGCUUAUGGAUAACACCCAUAGGUUCUGACGUUACCCACAGAAUAAGCACCGGCUAACUCUGUGCCAGCAGCCGCGGUAAUACAGAGGGUGCAAGCGUUAAUCGGAAUUACUGGGCGUAAAGCGAGCGUAGGUGGUUUAUUAAGUCAGAUGUGAAAUCCCUGGGCUUAACCUAGGAACUGCAUCUGAUACUGACAAACUAGAGUAGGUGAGAGGAAAGUAGAAUUCCAGGUGUAGCGGUGAAAUGCGUAGAGAUCUGGAGGAAUACCGAUGGCGAAGGCAGCUUUCUGGCAUCAUACUGACACUGAGGUUCGAAAGCGUGGGUAGCAAACAGGAUUAGAUACCCUGGUAGUCCACGCCGUAAACGAUGUCUACCAGUCGUUGGGUCUUUUAAAGGCUUAGUGACGCAGUUAACGCGAUAAGUAGACCGCCUGGGGAGUACGGCCGCAAGGUUA
This 549-nucleotide ribosomal RNA is filed under the name uncultured bacterium. RNAcentral describes it as "bacterial SSU rRNA". It matches the Rfam family "Bacterial small subunit ribosomal RNA", at positions 355 to 896 of the family's 1533-position model. The record is from RNAcentral.